CUCGGCGCCACCAUAGCCAUGCUUCUCGUCCUUGGUGCAUCCGACCCAUGUCUUCUCGGUCGUAUGCAGCCAUUGCCCAACAUAUAUUUGGAUCCUUGAGAAAAAUUAUGUUUUUUGGAUUUUGUAUUACUCAUUUUUUUCUAAAACAAAUUUUGGUUAAAAUAUGGACCAUUUUGUAAAUAACUGAUAACCUAUUUUAUAACGUUAAAAAAUUUAUCGCGCAUUUUUAUGUAAAAAGUAAAAUAUAGAAAAUUUUGCUCUUCUUAUAAACUUUUAACAAAAACAUUUGGACCAUUGCCCCUCUGCCCUCUCUAUUAGGGUC
Molecule: long non-coding RNA, 322 nt
Organism: Arabidopsis thaliana (thale cress)
Lineage: Eukaryota; Viridiplantae; Streptophyta; Magnoliopsida; Brassicales; Brassicaceae
Product: other RNA
Exons: 1
Source: RefSeq